UGGCUCAGGAUGAACGCUAGCUACAGGCUUAACACAUGCAAGUCAGGGCAGCAUGAAGUUGCUUGCAAACUUGAUGGCGACCGGCGCACGGGUGAGUAACGCGUAUCCAACCUGGCCCGCAGUAGGGAACAGCCGGCGAAAGUCGGAUUAAUGCCCUAUGUCUUCCUUUGCAGGCAUCCAAUGAGGAAGAAAGAUUUAUCGCUGCGGGAUGGGGAUGCGUCUGAUUAGCUUGUCGGCGGGGUAACGGCCCACCGAGGCUACGAUCAGUAGGGGUUCUGAGAGGAAGGUCCCCCACACUGGUACUGAGACACGGACCAGACUCCUACGGGAGGCAGCAGUGAGGAAUAUUGGUCAAUGGGCGAGAGCCUGAACCAGCCAAGUAGCGUGCAGGAACCGACUGCCCUAUGGGUUGUAAACUGCUUUUAUGCGGGGAUAAACUUCAGCACGUGUGCUGUUUUGCAGGUACCGCAUGAAUAAGGACCGGCUAAUUCCGUGCCAGCAGCCGC
This 506-nucleotide ribosomal RNA is filed under the name uncultured bacterium. RNAcentral's name for it is "bacterial SSU rRNA". It matches the Rfam family "Bacterial small subunit ribosomal RNA", at positions 20 to 518 of the family's 1533-position model. The record is from RNAcentral.